CCUACGGGUGGCAGCAGUAGGGAAUCUUUCACAAUGGGCGAAAGCCUGAUGGAGCAACGCCGCGUGCAGGAUGAAGGCCUUCGGGUUGUAAACUGCUUUUAUAAGCGAGAAAUAUGAUGGUAACUUAUGAAUAAGGAUCGGCUAACUACGUGCCAGCAGCCGCGGUCAUACGUAGGAUCCGAGCAUUAUCCGGAGUGACUGGGUGUAAAGAGUUGCGUAGGUGGCAUAAUAAGUAGCUAGUGAAAUCUGGUGGCUCAACCAUUCAGACUAUUAGCUAAACUGUUAAGCUCGAGACCGUUAGGGGUAACGGGAAUUUCUAGUGUAGGAGUGAAAUCCGUAGAUAUUAGAAGGAACACCAAUAGCGUAGGCAGGUUGCUGGGACGGUUCUGACACUAAGACACGAAAGCGUAGGGAGCAAACGGGAUUAGAUACCCCAGUAGUC
Molecule: ribosomal RNA, 442 nt
Filed under: uncultured bacterium
Lineage: Bacteria
Description: partial 16S ribosomal RNA
Rfam family: Bacterial small subunit ribosomal RNA
Source: RNAcentral